UACGGAGGGUGCAAUCGUUGCUCGGAAUCAUUGGGCGUAAAGCGCACGUAGGCGGCCUGAUAAGUCGGAUGUGAAAGCCCUGGGCUCAACCCAGGAAGUGCAUUCGAAACUGCCAGGCUUGAAUAUGGAAGAGGGUCGCGGAAUUCCCGGUGUAGAGGUGAAAUUCGUAGAUAUCGGGAGGAACACCAGUGGCGAAGGCGGCGACCUGGGCCAAUAUUGACGCUGAGGAGCGAAAGCGUGGGGAGCGAACAGG
This 253-nucleotide ribosomal RNA is filed under the name uncultured bacterium. RNAcentral describes it as "partial 16S ribosomal RNA". It matches the Rfam family "Bacterial small subunit ribosomal RNA", at positions 524 to 776 of the family's 1533-position model. The record is from RNAcentral.